GCGGAAACAUAAAUAAUAACAUCAAUCAGAGGUGAGACACCGCCAUGAAAAGAUGAAACGCGUCCGGACUCCUGACGGUGCUCGAAGACGAUGCUUUCAAUUUGGAUUUGCAAGAUUACUUGCCUUAUCAACAACGAUUGUUCGAUGAGAAGCACCUUAUACUCUACGCCUAGGAUUGAAUUGGGCCUUAUCCGCGAUCAGGAUUGUUUACGGCUCUCUAGAAUGGAAGAGUGGAGGAGAGAUAGCAACGAUCGACGUCAUCUGCCAGCAGUUCCAGAAGAUGUUAGAAACGUUAAAUUACUAUACCAGAUAACCGUCAAUCUUAUCAACCUUGACAUCCUUGGCGAAGUGGACGAGGUGGUAACUGUUGAGGAAUGUGAAACCCCCUGUACGUAUAC
Non-coding RNA from Nylanderia fulva, 398 nucleotides. NCBI's taxonomy places the organism in Eukaryota, Metazoa, Arthropoda, Insecta, Hymenoptera, Formicidae. The record is from RefSeq and is a predicted model, not a curated record.